UUUUAUCUUACAGUCUGCCACAAGGAGGAAUAAGCUGCAAGGCCAAAAGCAGGCAGGUCUCUGCUAGAGUUUUCAGAAAGUCCAGUAAUGUCAAGCUGCAAGAAUCUCAGCUUUUCCCACGUGCUCACGCUCACUGGUCCACCCCAAAGCAUCACUGAAUGGCUGGUGUUCUGGGAAAAGGAUCCAGUGGAGAUUCUGCUUAAUUUGGGGUUUGGUACAGAAGAACCUGAUGUCUGCACAAAAAUCCCUCCUCGGUUCCUCAGUGGUGUUUCUAUAGCAAAAGGAUUUGAUGUCCAAGCCUUUUUGAAAGCUCAGAAGAAGCAGAUGGACAUUG
Corvus hawaiiensis (hawaiian crow) is the source of this 334-nucleotide long non-coding RNA. RefSeq lists it as uncharacterized. The transcript is spliced from 3 exons. The record is from RefSeq and is a predicted model, not a curated record. Lineage: Eukaryota; Metazoa; Chordata; Aves; Passeriformes; Corvidae.